Hibiscus syriacus is the source of this 146-nucleotide long non-coding RNA. RefSeq lists it as uncharacterized. The transcript is spliced from 3 exons. The record is from RefSeq and is a predicted model, not a curated record. NCBI's taxonomy places the organism in Eukaryota, Viridiplantae, Streptophyta, Magnoliopsida, Malvales, Malvaceae.
UUCCAUCAGUAAAUGAGAUCAGUUAGGAGUAAAACAACCCAGCUCGAACUCGAGGGAGGAAAAAUAUUGAAAAACGUGAUGGUUUUGGGAUUUAAUCAAUCACGCGAAUGUUUGGAGAUUGGCCAACACGAUUCAGUAAGCUCACA